This 305-nucleotide long non-coding RNA is filed under the name Cicer arietinum (chickpea). RNAcentral describes it as "long non-coding RNA (CARI_LNC003367)". The record is from RNAcentral. Lineage: Eukaryota; Viridiplantae; Streptophyta; Magnoliopsida; Fabales; Fabaceae.
UUAAACAAGUUUGAGCAAUAAAGAACUAAGUCUUACAUGUUAGCUUUGUAGAAUGCUUGUCCACCGUUUUUGAAACUAACGAUAUUGUUAUACAGUUUACAACAUUAAUAACAAUAUCAAAUUGAUUAAACAGUUUCACAUUGACAAUAAGAAAUGGAUAAUUUGCAUUUCAAGACUAGAAACAAUUAAAAUAUUACUCUAAAUCUUUGGAUGUAGAUUAACUACCAAUAUUUAUUAUGACUCUACUAUGAAGCAAUAUUGCACCAGUUGAAAAUAGGAACUAUCAAGUUGAAUUUACAGUUUUG